Molecule: ribosomal RNA, 1433 nt
Filed under: uncultured organism
Description: partial small subunit ribosomal RNA
Rfam family: Bacterial small subunit ribosomal RNA
Source: RNAcentral
GGCGGCGUGCUUAACACAUGCAAGUCGAACGGAAAGGCCCUGCUUUUGUGGGGUGCUCGAGUGGCGAACGGGUGAGUAACACGUGAGUAACCUGCCCUUGACUUUGGGAUAACUUCAGGAAACUGGGGCUAAUACCGGAUAGGAGCUCCUGCUGCAUGGUGGGGGUUGGAAAGUUUCGGCGGUUGGGGAUGGACUCGCGGCUUAUCAGCUUGUUGGUGGGGUAGUGGCUUACCAAGGCUUUGACGGGUAGCCGGCCUGAGAGGGUGACCGGCCACAUUGGGACUGAGAUACGGCCCAGACUCCUACGGGAGGCAGCAGUGGGGAAUAUUGCACAAUGGGCGGAAGCCUGAUGCAGCAACGCCGCGUGCGGGAUGACGGCCUUCGGGUUGUAAACCGCUUUCGCCUGUGACGAAGCGUGAGUGACGGUAAUGGGUAAAGAAGCACCGGCUAACUACGUGCCAGCAGCCGCGGUGAUACGUAGGGUGCGAGCGUUGUCCGGAUUUAUUGGGCGUAAAGGGCUCGUAGGUGGUUGAUCGCGUCGGAAGUGUAAUCUUGGGGCUUAACCCUGAGCGUGCUUUCGAUACGGGUUGACUUGAGGAAGGUAGGGGAGAAUGGAAUUCCUGGUGGAGCGGUGGAAUGCGCAGAUAUCAGGAGGAACACCAGUGGCGAAGGCGGUUCUCUGGGCCUUUCCUGACGCUGAGGAGCGAAAGCGUGGGGAGCGAACAGGCUUAGAUACCCUGGUAGUCCACGCUGUAAACGGUGGGUACUAGGUGUGGGGUCCAUUCCACGGGUUCCGUGCCGUAGCUAACGCUUUAAGUACCCCGCCUGGGGAGUACGGCCGCAAGGCUAAAACUCAAAGGAAUUGACGGGGCCCCGCACAAGCGGCGGAGCAUGCGGAUUAAUUCGAUGCAACGCGUAGAACCUUACCUGGGUUUGACAUGGAUCGGGAGUGCUCAGAGAUGGGUGUGCCUCUUUUGGGGUCGGUUCACAGGUGGUGCAUGGCUGUCGUCAGCUCGUGUCGUGAGAUGUUGGGUUAAGUCCCGCAACGAGCGCAACCCUUGUUCACUGUUGCCAGCACGUUAUGGUGGGGACUCAGUGGAGACCGCCGGGGUCAACUCGGAGGAAGGUGGGGAUGACGUCAAGUCAUCAUGCCCCUUAUGUCCAGGGCUUCACGCAUGCUACAAUGGCUGGUACAGAGAGUGGCGAGCCUGUGAGGGUGAGCGAAUCUCGGAAAGCCGGUCUCAGUUCGGAUUGGGGUCUGCAACUCGACCUCAUGAAGUCGGAGUCGCUAGUAAUCGCAGAUCAGCAACGCUGCGGUGAAUACGUUCCCGGGGCUUGUACACACCGCCCGUCAAGUCAUGAAAGUUGGUAACACCCGAAGCCGGUGGCCUAACCGUUGUGGGGGAGCCGUCGAAGGUGGGACUGGUGAUUAG